This 896-nucleotide ribosomal RNA is filed under the name uncultured Ceratobasidium. Its description in RNAcentral is "eukaryotic LSU rRNA". The stretch from base 300 to 453 matches the Rfam family "5.8S ribosomal RNA". The record is from RNAcentral. Lineage: Eukaryota; Fungi; Basidiomycota; Agaricomycetes; Cantharellales; Ceratobasidiaceae.
CCGGCAACGGCACUCUAUUGCUGAGAAGCUGAUCAAACUUGGUCAUUUAGAGGAAGUAAAAGUCGUAACAAGGUUUCCGUAGGUGAACCUGCGGAAGGAUCAUUAAUGAAUGAAUUUAGAGUUGGUUGUUGCUGGCCCCCCUGGGGGCAUGUGCACACCUUUCUCUUUCAUCCACACACACCUGUGCACUUGUGAGACAGGGAGGGGGCCUUGAUUGGCUUUUUUUCCCUGUCUACUUAAUUACACAAACUCAUUUAUUUUAAACUGAAUGUAAUUGAUGUAACACAUCAUUUAAUACUAAGUUUCAACAACGGAUCUCUUGGCUCUCGCAUCGAUGAAGAACGCAGCGAAAUGCGAUAAGUAAUGUGAAUUGCAGAAUUCAGUGAAUCAUCGAAUCUUUGAACGCACCUUGCGCUCCUUGGUAUUCCUUGGAGCAUGCCUGUUUGAGUAUCAUGAAAUUAUCAAAGUAAAUCUUUUGUUAAUUCAAUUGGUUUUGCUUUGGAUUUGGAGGUCUUUGCGGAUUAAACAUCUGCUCCUUUUUAAAUUGAUUAGCUGGAUCUCAGUAUAUGCUUGGUUCCACUCGGCGUGAUAAGUUAUCACUCGCUGAGGACACUGUAAAAAGUGGCCAGGAAAUACAGAUGAACCGCUUCUAAUAGUCUAUUAACUUAGACAAUUAAUUUUAAGAUCUGAUCUCAAAUCAAGUUAGGACUACCCGCUUGAACUUAAGCAUAUCAAUAAGCGGAGGGAAAAGAAACUAACCAAGGAUUCCCCUUAGUAACGGCGAAGUGAAGCGGGAAGAGCUCAAAUUUAAAAUCUGGCAGUGUAUUCUGUCCGAGUUGUAGUCUAGAGAAGCAUCAUCCGUGCCGGACCAUGUAUAAGUCUCUUGGAACAGAGCG